GGGGGUAUAGCUCAGUGGUGCAGCAUUCGACUGCAGAUCGAGAGGUCCCCGAUUCAUUCCCGGAUGCUCCCU
Molecule: transfer RNA, 72 nt
Filed under: Trichonephila inaurata madagascariensis
Lineage: Eukaryota; Metazoa; Arthropoda; Arachnida; Araneae; Nephilidae
Rfam family: tRNA
About the family: Transfer RNA (tRNA) molecules are approximately 80 nucleotides in length. Their secondary structure includes four short double-helical elements and three loops (D, anti-codon, and T loops). Further hydrogen bonds mediate the characteristic L-shaped molecular structure. tRNAs have two regions of fundamental functional importance: the anti-codon, which is responsible for specific mRNA codon recognition, and the 3' end, to which the tRNAs corresponding amino acid is attached (by aminoacyl-tRNA synthetases). tRNAs cope with the degeneracy of the genetic code in two manners: having more than one tRNA (with a specific anti-codon) for a particular amino acid; and 'wobble' base-pairing, i.e. permitting non-standard base-pairing at the 3rd anti-codon position.
Source: Rfam by way of RNAcentral